Molecule: ribosomal RNA, 497 nt
Filed under: uncultured bacterium
Lineage: Bacteria
Description: partial 16S ribosomal RNA
Rfam family: Bacterial small subunit ribosomal RNA
Source: RNAcentral
GAUGAACGUUGGCGGCGUGCCUAAUACAUGCAAGUCGAGCGAACAGACGAGGAGCUUGCUCCUCUGACGUUAGCGGCGGACGGGUGAGUAACACGUGGAUAACCUACCUAUAAGACUGGGAUAACUUCGGGAAACCGGAGCUAAUACCGGAUAAUAUAUUGAACCGCAUGGUUCAAUAGUGAAAGACGGUUUUGCUGUCACUUAUAGAUGGAUCCGCGCCGCAUUAGCUAGUUGGUAAGGUAACGGCUUACCAAGGCAACGAUGCGUAGCCGACCUGAGAGGGUGAUCGGCCACACUGGAACUGAGACACGGUCCAGACUCCUACGGGAGGCAGCAGUAGGGAAUCUUCCGCAAAGGGCGAAAGCUUGACGGAGCAACGCCGCGUGAGUGAUGAAGGUCUUCGGAUCGUAAAACUCUGUUAUUAGGGAAGAACAAAUGUGUAAGUAACUAUGCACGUCUUGACGGUACCUAAUCAGAAAGCCACGGCUAACUACGUG